UUACAUGCGUCGCCGGAUGCAUGUAUCAUAAAUAAGCAUCGGACAUCUAUACCGUUAGGCCAUUGGGUAUAGAUGACUGGUGCUUUUUUUGU
RNAcentral lists this non-coding RNA (92 nucleotides) under Robinsoniella sp. KNHs210. Lineage: Bacteria; Bacillati; Bacillota; Clostridia; Lachnospirales; Lachnospiraceae. The record is from RNAcentral.